RNAcentral lists this long non-coding RNA (9500 nucleotides) under Homo sapiens (human). RNAcentral's name for it is "HSALNT0091299". Lineage: Eukaryota; Metazoa; Chordata; Mammalia; Primates; Hominidae. The record is from RNAcentral.
CAGAUCAAGAGCAUCUCAUCCUCCGGCUGCUGAGUCAUCCUGCUCUGGCAGUUAUUUAAACAGAAGGCUCCAGGAGACAUACAAUCAACACUCCACUCAGACAAUGCCCAGACCUCCAGAAACCAUGUGUCAAGCUCGGAUUGCCUUAGACAGGUGCAAUUUAAGAACAGCUUUCAUCCUCUUUUCUCUCAUAUUGUCACACUAUGUGUUCUGACUUCUGGCUCCUUUCCUCACAAGAAGCUCACCCAGCUGGAACUCUUAUGGGACCUUGGCACCAGAGACCACAAAUUCCUCUUUGAAGUUUUCUAACAGCAACAAUGGUAUUUCUGACUUGGCUUUCUUGUAUUUCUCUCACGUUAACAAAAUUGGUUCAGCAUCUACCAUGGGCUACAUGCUGAGCUACAGAGUUUCGCUCUGUCGCCCAGGCUGGAGUGCAGUGGCGCGCGAUCUCGGUUCACUGCAAGCUCCACCUCCCGGGUUCACGCCAUUCUCCUGCCUCAGCCUCCUGAGUAGCUGGGACUACAGGCGCCCGCCACCACACCCAGGAAUCCAACUUGCUGUUUGCUAUCACAUGUGCUAUACAUGCUGUUGAUGAAACUGCUAAAGGGGCUGAAUGUGACUGACGUCUUUGGAAGGAUGAGACUUAGCGUGCCUGUACAGUUGUGUCCAAAUGCUGUCCUCAUCUCCCAAUGAAAAGGUAUUGUAAAUAAAGAGAAAGAUCAGAGGCUUAUUUUAAACACUAAAUAUGAGCUAGGAGCUGUCCUAGACACUAUGUAAAAGUUUUAUUUAGUUCUCACUGUAAUGUUGGCCUUAUGUUAGCAUCCCAUUUUUCAGACUGAGGAAAUUAUGGCUCAGAGAGGUUAAGAGACUUAUUGAAGGUCACACAGCUCCACAAACUUUGGUGUAGAUUGAACGUGUACAUGGGUCUAUGUGACUUUGAAUCUUGCAUUCUUUACAUUAUUGGAAUAUUUCACAGAAGGAAAAUGACAUAUUAACAUGGCAAUAAGAUUUCUGGUUCCAGUCUGGUUACUGGUCUUCCAAGAGUGUUAUAGGAUGUAUAGCCUGAGCUCUGAAGCUUUGUUCUGAAGCAUGCUAUCAAUAUGAACAAAUUGGUAUGGAAGGAAGCCACAAAUUAUAUACUAAAAUCUAGUUCAUCAGAGGAAAAUAUAGUUAAAUACAUUUACAUUCCCAGAACUGUUAAUAUUGAAGAAUAAAACACACAGUGGGAAAGAGACGAAGAGAAAAUACGCCUGUUUUUAUGACUUGUUGAUAUCUACAGGGUUUUUCCUUAAGCCUCACAACAAUUUACAGCAUUGCCAGCAGCAUUCAGUACAUUCAGAACAGGAUAAUUUCACCCGCAGCUGAACUAGGGCCAUGCCUGGGACAGACAGAGAAUGGCCUUCCAGCAGACAUGCCAAGAAGCAAGCCAGGGUCAGUGAGUGAAGAGGAGGGCAGGCCCAUUUGAAGCAACACAGUUUAUAUACAUGAAAAGAAAGAAGGAGAGAAGGAAGAAAGGAGGGCGGAAGGAAAGGAAGAAGGGAGAGAAGAAGAGAAGAAAGAAGCAGAGAAAGGAAGAGAAAAGAAAUUACGGCCAGUGCGGUGGCUCACGCCUGUAAUCCUAGCACUUUGGGAGGCCUAAGCGGGCUGAUCACCUGAGGUCAGGAGUUCGUAAGCCAGCCUGGCCAACAUGGUGAAACCCUAUCUCUACUAAAAAUACAAAAAUCAGCAGGGCAUGGUGGUGCGUGCCUGUAAUCCCAGCUACCUGGGAGGCUGAGGUAGGAGAAUCGCUGGAACCCGAGAGGCGGAGGCUGCAGUGAGUUGAGAUCAUGUCACUGCACUCCAGGCUGGGCAACAGAGUGAGACUCUGUCUCAGAAAAAAAAAAAAAGAAAGAAAGAAAGAAAGAAAGUUACCAUUAGUUUUUUGUUGUAUUUGCAAGCAAAGACAAAAGCACCAAGGUACUUGUUUCCUUCUGUAAUUAGAGUUUCAAAUAGACUAAAAGUUUCUGCUCUUAGGUGGGUCUAGAGACUCUCCAGUACCUCAGGACCUCAGGACACAUGGGGUCUCUUGGUUGUUUUCUUUUCAUUGUUGUUGUUUAUUUUAUUUUUGUUUUUAUUUUUUAACUUUAAAACAAUUUUUUGUAGAUGAAUAUGCUUACAUAUGUUUGGGGGUUUUUUUGAGACAGGGUCUUGCUCUGUUGCCCAGGCUGGAGAGCGGUGGUUUAACCACAGCUCACUGCAGCCUCGACCUCCCAAGGUAGGGACUGCAGGUGUGUACACUGGGGUGCACCACCACACCCAGCUAAUUUUUAAAUUUUUUUUUGUAGAUAUUGUCUCACUCUGUUGGCCAGACUGGUCUUGAAAUCCUGGGCUCGAGCAAUUCUCCUGCCUCGGCCUCGUAACGCGUUAGGAUUACAAGCGUGAACACCGCACCUGGCCAGCAUGUGGUCUCUUAACCAGAGGAGGCCUCUUCUGAACUAGGUAGAGGUCCUGAGAAUUGAUUCUGAGAGUAAAAGGCUCUUUGUUCUCCUCAGAGUAGAUUAGAAUCCCUAAUGAUAGAGCAUCUAUUAUUCCUCUAGUGGUCCAUGCCCAACAGAUUCAUCCAAGAAUAGAUGAAGAUCUUUGUAAUGUUGUGCAAGUAAUCUAAUCACCCCACAGAAGAGCUGUGACUUAAAUUAUCCCAGAGUCGGCCCACCUGUUUUCAUAAAGAUCAAUGUAACUUGUAAAUUUCUUCAGUUCUCCUCACCUAUCAUCAUUUGACUAACAAAACCCAGAAAACUAGGCUAGUUAUGGUGGCCUAUGCAUAUAAUCCCAACUCUUUGAGAGGCCAGGGUGGGUGGAUUGCUUGAGUCCAGGAAUUCGAGACCAGCCUGGGCAACAAAGGGAGACCCUGCCUAUAUCCCAGCUAUGCAGGAGGCGAGGCCAGAGGAUUGCCUGAGCCUCAGAGGUUGAGGCUGUAGUGAGCCAUGAUUGCCCCACUACACUCCAGCCUGGAUGACAGAGUGAGACCCUGCCUUAAAAAUAAUAAUAAUAGUAAUAAUAUUUCAUAAAGAUACAGGAAACUAGAUUAUAAUUGACAUUUUCAAAGUGAAAUACUGUCUAGAAUGGUGCUUGGCCAACAGUAAGCUUUUUGUAAGUGGAAGUCAUUACUACUACUAUUUCUUUCAUUAUUAUUACCAUUACUACUUUUUUUUACAAAAAAAAAACCCUGGACAACACACUGAAACCAUUACUACUUCUACUACUAUAACUUAGGUUGCACCUGAUAGAGCCAGCAAUUUUUCCAAGGUAUGACAAUGGCCAUAUGUUUAAUGAUAUAAUUCUAUGGCUCAGUGUAUCUCAGCCUUUUUAAACCCUGCUCUUCUUUUGACAAUUGUAAAAAUCUUAAACUGACCUCCAGUUGAAAUCCUCUGUCAAGAAGAUAUUGUCGGCCAGGGGCGGUGGCUCACACCUGUAAUCCCAGCACUUUUGGAGGCCGAGGUGGGAGGAUCACUUGAGGUUAGGAGUUCAAGACCAGCCUGGCCAACAUAGUGAAACCCCAUCUCUACUAAAAAUACAAAAAUUAGGCAGGCAUGGUGGUGUGUGCCUGUAAUCCCAGCUACUCAGGAGGCUGAGGUAGGAGAAUUGCUUGAACCUGGCAGGGCAGAGGUUGCAGCAAGCCGAGAUCACGCCACUGCUCUCCAGCCUGGGUGAGACUGUCUCAAAAAAAAAAAAAAAAAAGAAAGAAAGUAAGAAAAAGAAGAAAUCCCAAUCUCUUCUUUUAUGUGGAUUCUUCCUCACUUGAAUAAUACUUUUCUUCCCCAGUAUUCUCCAUAUUAUCCCAGAGUCAGCCCCUCUGUUUUUGUAAAGAUCUACGUAACCUCCUCUAAGUUUCCCAGUUCUCCUCACCUAUCAUAUCAUUUGGCUCAACAAAGGGCAGGAAGCUAGAUUCUAAUUGAUAUUUUGAGGCCGGGAGCAGUGGCUCAUGCCUGUAAUCACAGCACUUUGGGAGGCUGAGGCGGGCAGAUCACUGGAGGUCAGGAGUUCGAGACCAGCCUGGCCAAUAUGGUGAAACCUCGUCUCUACUAAAAAUACAAAAAAUUAGCCAGGCUUGGUGGCUUGUACCUGUAAUCCCAGCUACUCAGGAGGCUGAGGCAGGAGAAUAGCUUAAACCUGGGAGGAAGAGGUUGCAGUGAGCCGAGAUUGCUCAAUUGCACCCCAGCCUGGGUGACAGAGCAAAACUCCAUCUCAAAAACAAACAAACGAACAAACCUGAUAUUUUCAAAAUUGAGGCAAUUAUAACAGCUAUUUAGCCAAGCAUUAUGAUAGCAAUAAUAGCAAGAAAAUAAAUUAGUUAACAAAUGAGUCUCAGAAGCCCAAUGAUUUUUAUUUUAUUUUUAUUUUUUGAACUUUUAUUUUAGAAUCAGGGGAUACAUGUGCAGGUUUGUUACCCGGGUAUAUUGCAUGAUGCUGAGUUUUGGAGUAUGCAUGAAUCCAACCUGUCAUCCAGGUAGUGAGUAUAGUACCCAACAGAUAGUUUUUUUAACAUUUACUUCACUCCCUUCCCCAAUCUUGUAUUCCCCUGUGUCUACUGUUCCCAUUUUUAUGACUGUGCCAACAAUAAUUUUUUUUCUUUUUUCUUUAAAUAGAGAUGGGGGUCUCUAUUUAAAGAGCCUCCCAAAGUGCUAGGAUUACAGGUGUGAUCCAUUGCACCUGGCCCAUGCCAACAAUAUUUGAAACCCUUAUCUGCGUGUACAAGUUUGCUACUGGUUUUGUUUUGCUCAUUAAUACAUCCCAAGCAUCUAUACCUGGCUUGUAGUACCAGCAUGUAGUAGGUGCUUAAUAAAUAUUUAUUGAAUAAAUAAAUUAGUUUGACAUUAGUUUAACAUCUCAAGUAAAACAAAAUACCAUUCAAUUAAUUCUCUUCUUCUACUUUUUUCUUUUAAGAGAGACAAAUAGUCACACAUACAUCAGCAGGAGAGGAUACAAUUUCCUGUGUUUAAGUUUUUAUGAGUUACUUUAGUUCAAAUGUCACAGAAAAUUAUAUUGAACUCUUGACCAAUCUAUCUAUUUUUUCCAUUGGAGUAUUGACCCAAAUAAGAAAUAGCAUAAAGGAAAAAUUAUUUUUUGGCAGAAAAAUAUUCUCUCUAAAUUCUUGUGUGUUUUGUUUUGAUUUUUUCCUUAGUGACUGGAGGCCAGUUUCAAUCCACUGAAGCACAGAUUCCAAAUUUUCAAUCUGGUUUUCUUGAGUAGUGACUGAGUGCCAAAAAUGAAGCAAUGACACAACAUCACCAUCAAGACACUCCCCAGCACGCACACACAUGCCAGAGUCCAACACCAAGAUACUCCCCAGCACGCACACACACGCCAGAGUCCAGGCCAUAUUCGGGUGGCUUGCAAGCUUCUUCCCCCCAAGUAUUUACUCUCAAAAUAAUGGUUUUUGUUUUGUUUUGGUUUGGUUUGGUUUGUUUUUUUCCAAAUACAUUUCUUCCCUAUAUCUUUAACCAAUUCUCAUAAAAUUUUGUCUAAUACACUGGUCAGUGUAUUCCAGACCCUAAAAGAUAACAUAAUGAAACUAUCUAUGACUAAAAGGUAAUCAGGAUCUUCUACUUAUCCUUUUUUCCUCCCUCUUAAACUUUAAUUUUGAUACAUUUGGGAGUGAAAUGAUGACAAUAAAUGCAAAGUAAUUAUUGAAGAAACAGUAAUUUUGUAUUAGCUUACUGAAAAAAAAAAAAAAGAUAACCAAAUAUAUUUUGGCAGCCCCAAACGAGUCACAUGUGAAAUGCAGUGGGAGAGCAGUGUCCUGAAGGAAAAGGUGGCCUGCUGGACAGCCAAGAGAACAAACAUCCACUGCAAGUAAUAUGAGCUCUAAGUUUGGACUAGGCCUAUGUCUGCUCUGAGACUUGGGGCAAUUCACUUAAUCAGAGCCUUAAUCAGCUACGGACUAGCAAUAUCCAUACCCGCUACUUAUUUUGUAAAUCUCCUUUCUAAAGUUAACUCUAUUUAUUGUUCCAUAAUCCCAUAAAUUCUAGAAUCUUUUCCUGUUAUAGCCAAGUUGUCUAUCAUUGACAGAGAUAUUCACCUGGUUGUUUUGGCUUCUCUAAUCCUCCUGGUGAGAACACCUCCAAGGGAGCUUUCAGUGGCAUUUAAGGUCACUUGUGCUCUUGGUCCUAGAAACUGCCUUGAUAGUGGUUUUAGCUCACAUGAGGUAAGUCUUUAUUAUAUGCCCAACCUCUUUAUGCAUUACUUCAUUUAAUUGUAUACUAAUCCUUUGUCAUAGGUUAUCAGAGUGUUUGAUUAUAAGUUACAGGAAGAAAAAAAAAAACAAACUCCAAUUGACUAAAACAAUGGGGCAUUUUUUGACUCACAUAACAGAGAGUCUAGAGAGAAGGCACCUUCAGGUUUGGCUGAUGAAUCCUGUAUCUCUGCCUUGUCUCCAGGCCCCCAGGUUCUGCCUCUGUCCUGACAUCCAGUGUUGGAUUCCUCUUCACAUCAACUCCUCUCUAGCUGUGGCAAUUCCUUGAACCACACUGAUUGCUAUAAAGUGGAAGAGGAAUAGAUUGAAUUUUGGGGAGUCAACUACAAUGUGUACUACAGGAACAAAACCCAUCAGAAGAUGUCAGAAGAUAAGGAUUUUUGUCCUGAUGCUACACUUACCAGCUGUCCCUCAGUGUUCUACUUCUUAAAAAAAGAGAGGUUGGUCCUGAUCCCUGGUUCUUAACCAGGGGAAAAUGAAGUGGGGCCAGGGCAUGUGCAGACUUAAAAAUUACACAGGGGAAUGUAGGCACGAUCUGUUUAAGAAAUACUGGACUAAAUGGUCUCUAAUCUGUGAUUGUAGAUUAAAGAAUAAUCUACAAUCUACACCGUGUUGGCCAGGCACGGUGGCUCACACCUGUAAUUCCAGCACUUUGGGAGGCUGAGGUGUGUGGAUCACAUGAGGUCAGGAGUUCGAGACCAGCCUCACCAAUGUGGCAAAACCCCCUCUCUACUAAAAAUACGGAAAAUUAGCUGGGUGUGGUGGUGCAUGUCUGUAGUCCCAGCUACUCGGGAGGCUAAGGCAUGAGAAUUGCUUGAACCUGGGAGGUGGAGGUUGCAGUGAGCCAAAAUCACGCCACUGCACUCCAGCCUGGGUGACAGAGUGAGACUCUGUCUCAAAAAAAAAGAAAAAAUAAAUAAUCAAAUGUAAAGUUAGCACAUAAAGGAGGCAUGUACAUAUUAUUAAAAUCUAUAUGACUACCUCUCCUUUUUCAUUUUUGGCUCAAUAUCUGUAUCUGAACACCUAAUUAAUGAAAGGAAAACAUUUGUAAUAUGUAGCAACUAAAAUGUCACCUUCUCUGUGGGGAUCACAAAGUCCUUGGCAAUCACUUCCAUACCAGACAAGUGAGUAUUGUCCUUCUCCUUUUCCAGAUGGAUAAACAGAGGCAACCCGAGGAUAAAGGCCUUGCUCAGUGUCACACAUUUCAGUCACUAAAUAAGACACAAUGGAUGCCAGUAUUCUCAUCCCCUCACAAAUAAAGAGCCUUCAAGCUCUUGCAGUCAACAAGAACUUUUGGAAUGAUUUCACUGCCUGAAAAGGCAGAUACAUAGGUGACACCCACAAAUAGGAAGAAAAUCAACCUGAACCUGAGUGUGUGGGCUCACUGACUCUAAGCAGUAGAGACAGAAGAAAAAGUUUUAGCAAAGAAGGGUUCUGAAAGAAAAUAAAUAUAGCUCGUUAUCAAGUGCUGUUUUUACACAGUAAAACAUGGGCAAAAUUACUCUUCUUUAAGUAGUAAUUCUUAUCUCUUGAUUAAGUCACCUACUCAUUCAUUUAAUAAAUACAUACUGAUUGUUUUCUAUGUGUUGAGCACUCAUCUCUGUAUUGGAAAUAUAAUAAUGACCAAAGUUGACAAUAGUAAUAACAAUAAUAGCUAAUAUAGCAGGCACUAAUAAUUAUUUGUUGAGUAAUAUGUCAAAAUUCAGUGUGAACAGCAUUCUAUUUGGGGCUGCAUCCACUGACUAUAACACAGCUAAUCUAUCUGAAAUGUUCCAGCUUUGGGCCUCUCUAACAGAAGAAGCUGUUGUUGGGCCUGCCUCUAGUUGGCGAUGCAUCCACCAAUGAGAAUGAAUUUAUGAUCGACCACUCUUCCUGUAAAGGCCGCUGGAACUGACAGCAUUGUGAUUUUCUUUUACUGUUAGUUUUAAAUUACUAGAACCAACUCAAUUACUAGAACGAACUUUACUUCUUUGUUUCCUACUUAUCAAAACAGUAAAAACAACAAGUAAAAGAAAUGCCAUCUUAAUAUUGUUUUGAUGACAAAACAGUAUUCCUUUUAGUUGUGCUUCAAAUGGAAUAAGAUGCAAACAGGCUUGGUAUGGUGGCUCACCCCUGUAAUCCCAGCCCUUUGGGAGGCCAAGGUGGAAGGAUUGCUUGAGGCCAUGAGUUUGAGACCAGCCUGCGCAACAUAGCAAGACCGUGUCUCUACAAAAAAUAAAAAAUUAGCUGAGUGUAGUGGUGUGUGCUUGUGGUCCCAGCUACUUUUGAGGCUGAGGAGGGAGAAUCUCUUGAGCCCAGAAGGUCGAAGUUGCAGUGAGCCGUGAUCGUGCCAUUGCUCUCCAGCUUGGACAACAAAGCAAGACCCUAUGUCAAAAAAUAAAUAAAUAAAAGACAUAAACAUAUCUGAGAUUAACUUUCAGUGGUAAAUUUGUUCCAUAUAUGAUUUUUAAGGUUAAAUGCUUUGGAAGCUUUAAAAACCAUUUCAGCCCUUUUAAAUGCCAACUUACACUGAUGAUGCUCUCAGAUGUUAGGAAAUCUUUUGAGCAGAAAAUGGAAGUGGGGGUGUUGAGGCAGGGAGGAGAGUGAUGCAAUAUUCCUUAGUGUCAUCCUGUGAUUUCACAAUUUGUUUUUCAAUCUGUUUGGACUUUCAAAAGGGAAGACUCUCAUAUGUCAACAAGCCCAUGAACUGAAGCUUAAAACACUGGAAACAACAACUGUAGAGUUUCAAGUAUAUGUACAUUUAUGUAUUCAUGUUCCUUGAUGGGAAUGCUGGCUGGUGUGAAUGUUCAAUCUCCUGAGAAAUGUAAAUUUUUCUCUGACAGAUUUAUUAGCUUGCUGUAUCUGAGCACAUGAGCAAAAACAAUGCCUAAUAAGAAAACUUUCUCUCUCCUUCAAAGUCAAACUUGGGAGAAAUGAAGGGAAAUCGAGUUUUCUUUGCUUGACAGUGUUCAACAUUCUUGUAGUCAGUGUGCUCAUGAAGAUUGCAAACUUUUUUUUUUUUUUAGAGCAGCUAGGACUACAGGCGCGCACCACCACACCCAGCUAAUUUGUGUAUUUUUAGUAGAGAUGGGGUUUUAACUAUGUUGGCCAAGCUUGUCUCAAACUCCUGACCUCAAGUGAUCCAUUCGACAGCUCUUUCUUUUUUUUUUUUUUUUUUGAGACAAAGUCUCGCUCUGUCACCCAGGCUGGAGUGCAGUGGUAUGAUCUCAGCUCACUGCAACCUCCGCCUCCUGGGUUCAAGCAAUUCUCAUGCCUUAGCCUCCCGAAU